This 848-nucleotide unclassified non-coding RNA is filed under the name Melitaea cinxia (Glanville fritillary). Its description in RNAcentral is "misc RNA ENSMCXG00005016315.1". Lineage: Eukaryota; Metazoa; Arthropoda; Insecta; Lepidoptera; Nymphalidae. The record is from RNAcentral.
CCGCCCGCGCCCGCCCCCGCGCCCGCGCCCGCGCCGCCGCCGCCGCGCGCCAAGCCGCAGCCGCGCACCAAGGUACCCGCGCCGCCCGACCCGCCCGCCGUGCCCACGCGGCCGCGCCCCGUCUGACCGCCCGCGGCCCGGUCGGACCGUUCGGCGUUCGGUCGGUACGCGUUGCGGUAGUCUAUGUAUUAUUAUUUAUGCCGGCGCGCCGCGCCCGCCGCGGCCGCCGCUAGCGAGUAUCCGUUGUACAUAUGGAGUGCGGUCACGUCGGACCGGUGACGCCCGUCGACCGGUUUUAUUAUGUUGUUUUUCGCUAACACUUAUUAGUGGUCGCUUAUGUUUGUUUUGUUGGCUUUCGAAAUAUCGGUGUGAUUUACUUUAUCAUAGAGAAUACUUAAUAGUUAUGGAAUGUUUUAAUCGAUUUAAACUAUAAAUAAGGUAAAACGGAGAUCAGAGAAUGACUGUUAUUCGUGAUAAAUAUGUAAGAGAGGAGUCCACCUUUGUAACCCGCUAGUUUUCGAUGUUAACUCGAGAGAGACAAAAGUCAGUAUUUAUUGAGAAUAAUUUUUUAUGAGAUUGUUUUGUUAUCAAAUAAUUAUAGUUAGAAUAAAUAGAUACAUGUAUUUUUAUAAAAGCUACGACUUACUCUUUGCUUUAUAUGUUUAUUACUACGACUCCUCUCCAAUAUCAUAUUCUUUAGUAAAUCGAAUGAAAAGCUACUUACACUAAAAAUUGUCACUAGCUAUUCAAAAGUGCUUAUUAGUUUGAUCAUUAUACUCCAACAUUACAAAAUGUUUGUAUGUACCCUAAUUAAAUUCUAUAAUAUUAAAAGAAAAAAAAAAAAAAAA